UAGUGAGUUUGAUCCUGGCUCAGAACGAACGCUGGCGGCAGGCCUAACACAUGCAAGUCGAGCGAGGACUUCGGUCCUAGCGGCGGACGGGUGAGUAACGCGUGGGAACGUGCCCUUUGCUACGGAAUAGCCCUGGGAAACUGGGAGUAAUACCGUAUGUGCCCUUCGGGGGAAAGAUUUAUCGGCAAAGGAUCGGCCCGCGUUGGAUUAGGUAGUUGGUGGGGUAAUGGCCUACCAAGCCGACGAUCCAUAGCUGGUUUGAGAGGAUGAUCAGCCACACUGGGGACUGAGACACGGCCCAGACUCCUACGGGAGCAGCAGU
RNAcentral lists this ribosomal RNA (322 nucleotides) under uncultured Paracoccaceae bacterium. RNAcentral describes it as "bacterial SSU rRNA". It matches the Rfam family "Bacterial small subunit ribosomal RNA", at positions 1 to 355 of the family's 1533-position model. Lineage: Bacteria; Pseudomonadati; Pseudomonadota; Alphaproteobacteria; Rhodobacterales; Paracoccaceae. The record is from RNAcentral.